GACGAACGCUGGCGGCAUGCCUAACACAUGCAAGUCGAACGAAACCUUCCGGUCUAGGUGCGCAGGGGUGCGUAACGCGUGGGAACCUGCCCUUAGGUUCGGAAUAACUCCCCGAAAGGUGUGCUAAUACCACAUAAUGUCUUCGCACCAAAGAUUUAUUGCCUUUUGAUGGGCGCGCGUUAGAUUAGCUAGUUGGUAGUGUAAAAGCAUGCCAAGGCGACGAUCCAUAGCUGGUCUGAUAGGAUGACCAGCCAGACUGGGACUGAGACACGGACCAGACCGGUACGGGAAGGAGGAGUGGGGAGUAUUGGAGGAUGGGGGAAAGCGUGAUACAGCAACGCCGCGUGAGUGAUGAAGGCGUUAGGGUUGUAAAGUCCUCUUAGACGGGAUGAUAAUGACAGUAAUGGGAGAAGAAGCACCGGCUAACUACGUG
This 433-nucleotide ribosomal RNA is filed under the name uncultured bacterium. Its description in RNAcentral is "partial 16S ribosomal RNA". It matches the Rfam family "Bacterial small subunit ribosomal RNA", at positions 28 to 507 of the family's 1533-position model. The record is from RNAcentral.